AAAUAAGAAGCAAUAUGCAUUUAAUUUCGACUUAAAAAUUUGAGUUUAGUAAACUCCUUAUUUAA
Molecule: transfer RNA, 65 nt
Filed under: Leucoma chrysoscela
Lineage: Eukaryota; Metazoa; Arthropoda; Insecta; Lepidoptera; Erebidae
Description: tRNA-Arg
Source: RNAcentral